GUGCUUGCUUCGGCAGCAUGUAUACUAAAAUUGGAACAGUACAGAGAUUAGCAUGGCCGCUGCAUAAGGAUGACAUGCAUAUUCAUGAAGCGUUCCAUAUUUUU
Molecule: small nuclear RNA, 104 nt
Organism: Physeter macrocephalus (sperm whale)
Lineage: Eukaryota; Metazoa; Chordata; Mammalia; Artiodactyla; Physeteridae
Source: Ensembl